AUAAUAUAAAUUUUAUUAUUUUUCAAUAUCAUUUGAAGUACUUAGAAAAUAUAGUAUAUUAAUUAUUAUAUAUUUAUUAUAUGGUCGAAUUUUUUAUUCCGAAUUUUUAAUUGGUGAACGUAUAAUAUCUGUAUAAAUCACGUAUCUGAAUUAUUUCCGAAUCCGUUUUUUAGACGUAAUUUUCAACAAAUUUAAAAAUUAAAAAAUAAAAUUUAUCCAAAUUAUACCCGUACCGAAUUAUUGCCGAAUCCGAAUUAACUAAUUAUGCCAAGAAAUGAGACAUUGGAAGAAUCUUUUUAAUCUUCCAACAACGUGUAUUAACCAUCCAUCUUAUCUUCCCACAAAAAACAACCAAACUCCUUGUCUCCAACAAACAGCGAGUAAGCUGCCGUUAGCAUAAUCGCAAAAGCUGCCGUUAGCUUCAAAAAGAAGAGAAAUUGAAAAACCCAAUUUCUCUUCAAUUUCUCUUUUCUCUUUCACCCUAACCACCCAUCAAAUUUGAUGGGCGGUUAAGAAUUUAGGAGCACAAGGGCUGCUGCGCUCCUAAUAGCACAGUAGCCCUACUCUAUAUAUAUAUAUAUAGAGAGAGAGAGAGCAAGGCUGCUGUAUCCGUGCUCCUGAGUCGCUUUCAAUGAUGCAAUUUUCGAUUCGACAAUCAGCUCUGUUAGACUUGAUCUAGCGUAUUUGAAGUUUCUAGAAAAUAAUUUUUGCGAUUUUUUCAUAUCAUUUACCUAGCAAUCGAAAGGAUUCAAAAUCAAAAAUUUUUAACGGAAGAAAAUAAAAUCCUAUAAAAAGUGGUGAUAUAACAUUAAAUUUUUUUAUCAGAAAUAUUGAUUUUAUUGUAGAUAGUAAAAAAUUUUAUAUCAAUAUUUCAUCUGAUUUGAAUACUUCUAUACCGUUAAACUUGAAAAUGGCAGAUAUCAACAAUUAAAAAUUAUUGAUUUUGAAUUCUUUCGAUCACUAGGUAAAUGAUAUGAAAAAAUUGCAAAAAUUAUUUUCUAGAAACUUCAAAUACCCUAGAUCAAGUCUAACGGAGCCGAUCGUCGAUUUGAAAAUUUCAUCAUCGAAAACGGCUCAGGAGCACGCCCCCGUGCUCCUGAGAGCACAGACCUGUCUAUAUUAUAUAUAUAUAUAUAUAUAUAUAUAUAUAUAUAUAUAUAAA
Molecule: long non-coding RNA, 1162 nt
Filed under: Ananas comosus (pineapple)
Lineage: Eukaryota; Viridiplantae; Streptophyta; Magnoliopsida; Poales; Bromeliaceae
Description: long non-coding RNA (ACOM_LNC002460)
Source: RNAcentral